AACGAACGCUGGCGGCAUGCCUAACACAUGCAAGUCGAACGAGACCUUCGGGUCUAGUGGCGCACGGGUGCGUAACGCGUGGGAACCUGCCCUUAGGUUCGGAAUAACUCCCCGAAAGGGGUGCUAAUACCGGAUAAUGUCUUCGGACCAAAGAUUUAUCGCCUUUGGAUGGGCCCGCGUUGGAUUAGCUAGUUGGUAGGGUAAAAGCCUACCAAGGCGACGAUCCAUAGCUGGUCUGAGAGGAUGAUCAGCCACACUGGGACUGAGACACGGCCCAGACCCCUACGGGGGGCAGCAGUGGGGAAUAUGGGAAAAUGGGCGAAAGCCUGACCCAGCAAGGCCGGGGGGGUGAUGAAGGCCUUAGGGUUGUAAAGCUCUUUUACCCGGGAUGAUAAGGACGGUACCGGGAAAAUAAGCCCCGGCUAACCCCGU
This 432-nucleotide ribosomal RNA is filed under the name uncultured bacterium. RNAcentral describes it as "partial 16S ribosomal RNA". It matches the Rfam family "Bacterial small subunit ribosomal RNA", at positions 29 to 506 of the family's 1533-position model. The record is from RNAcentral.